GGAGAGAUGCAGGAGUGGCUGAUCUGGCUACCCUGGAAAGGUAGUGUACUCGUAAGGGUACCGUGGGUUCGAAUCCCACUCUCUCCGCCA
RNAcentral lists this transfer RNA (90 nucleotides) under Ignavibacteriales bacterium CG_4_9_14_3_um_filter_34_10. Its description in RNAcentral is "tRNA-Ser". It matches the Rfam family "tRNA". Rfam says of the family: Transfer RNA (tRNA) molecules are approximately 80 nucleotides in length. Their secondary structure includes four short double-helical elements and three loops (D, anti-codon, and T loops). Lineage: Bacteria; Pseudomonadati; Ignavibacteriota; Ignavibacteria; Ignavibacteriales. The record is from RNAcentral.